Molecule: ribosomal RNA, 433 nt
Filed under: uncultured bacterium
Lineage: Bacteria
Description: partial 16S ribosomal RNA
Rfam family: Bacterial small subunit ribosomal RNA
Source: RNAcentral
AACGAACGCUGGCGGCAUGCCUAACACAUGCAAGUCGAACGAGACCUUCGGGUCUAGUGGCGCACGGGUGCGUAACGCGUGGGAACCUGCCCUUAGGUUCGGAAUAACUCCCCGUAAGGGGUGCUAAUACCGGAUAAUGUCUUCGGACCAAAGAUUUAUCGCCGUUGGAUGGGCCCGCGUUGGAUUAGCUAGUUGGUAGGGUAAAAGCCUACCAAGGCGACGAUCCAUAGCUGGUCUGAGAGGAUGAUCAGCCACACUGGGACUGAGACACGGCCCAGACUCCUACGGGAGGCAGCAGUGGGGAAUAUUGGACAAUGGGCGAAAGCCUGAUCCAGCAAUGCCGCGUGAGUGAUGAAGGCCUUAGGGUUGUAAAGCUCUUUUACCCGGGAUGAUAAUGACAGUACCGAGAGAAUAAGCUCCGGCUAACUCCGUG